RNAcentral lists this ribosomal RNA (424 nucleotides) under uncultured bacterium. Its description in RNAcentral is "partial 16S ribosomal RNA". It matches the Rfam family "Bacterial small subunit ribosomal RNA", at positions 360 to 776 of the family's 1533-position model. The record is from RNAcentral.
AAUUUUGGACAAUGGGGGAAACCCUGAUCCAGCCAUCCCGCGUGUAUGAUGAAGGCCUNCGGGUUNUNAAGUACUUUUGGCAGAGNCGAAAAGGUAUCUCCUAAUACGAGAUACUGCUGACGGUAUCUGCAGAAUAAGCACCGGCUAACUACGUGCCAGCAGCCGCGGUAAUACGAAGGGUGCAAGCGUUAAUCGGAAUUACUGGGCGUAAAGCGCGCGUAGGUGGUUCAGUAAGAUGGAAGUGAAAUCCCAGGGCUCAACCUUGGAACUGCAUUUUUAACUGCCGAGCUAGAGUAUGUCAGAGGGGGGUAGAAUUCCACGUGUAGCAGUGAAAUGCGUAGAUAUGUGGAGGAAUACCGAUGGCGAAGGCAGCCCCCUGGGAUAAUACUGACGCUCAGACACGAAAGCGUGGGGAGCAAACAGG